This 3035-nucleotide ribosomal RNA is filed under the name Proteus mirabilis. Its description in RNAcentral is "bacterial LSU rRNA". It matches the Rfam family "Bacterial large subunit ribosomal RNA". Lineage: Bacteria; Pseudomonadati; Pseudomonadota; Gammaproteobacteria; Enterobacterales; Morganellaceae. The record is from RNAcentral.
GGGUUGUGAGGUUAAGCGAAUAAGCGUACACGGUGGAUGCCUAGGCAAUCAGAGGCGAUGAAGGACGUGCUAAUCUGCGAUAAGCGUCGGUAAGGUGAUAUGAACCGUUAUACCCGACGAUUUCCGAAUGGGGAAACCCAAUAUCCAAUGGAUAUUAUCAUGACGUGAAUACAUAGCGUCAUGAAGCGAACCGGGAGAACUGAAACAUCUCAGUACCCCGAGGAAAAGAAAUCAACCGAGAUUCCCCUAGUAGCGGCGAGCGAACGGGGAACAGCCCAGAGUCUUAAUCAAUAGCAGCAUCAGGAGAACGGUCUGGAAAGUCCGGCAGUAAAGGGUGAUAGCCCCGUAUCUGAAGAUGCUGUUAUUGUGAACUCGACGAGUAGGGCGGGACACGUGUUAUCCUGUCUGAAUAUGGGGGGACCAUCCUCCAAGGCUAAAUACUCCUGAUUGACCGAUAGUGAACCAGUACCGUGAGGGAAAGGCGAAAAGAACCCCGGCGAGGGGAGUGAAAAAGAACCUGAAACCGUGUACGUACAAGCAGUAGGAGCCCCACCACUAAGCUAGUGGUGAACUCACAGCGAUUCUUUUGCAUGAUAAUGUGCGGUAGACGGAGCGAAAGCGACGUCCAACCAACAAAAUCAAGCAGAGGAGGCUUAGUGGUGGGGUGACUGCGUACCUUUUGUAUAAUGGGUCAGCGACUUAUAUUCUGUAGCAAGGUUAACCGUAUAGGGGAGCCGUAGGGAAACCGAGUCUUAACUGGGCGAAUGAGUUGCAGGGUAUAGACCCGAAACCCGGUGAUCUAUCCAUGGGCAGGUUGAAGGUUGGGUAACACUAACUGGAGGACCGAACCGACUAAUGUUGAAAAAUUAGCGGAUGACUUGUGGAUGGGGGUGAAAGGCCAAUCAAACCGGGAGAUAGCUGGUUCUCCCCGAAAGCUAUUUAGGUAGCGCCUCGUGAACUCAUCUUCGGGGGUAGAGCACUGUUUCGACUAGGGGGUCAUCCCGACUUACCAACUCGAUGCAAACUGCGAAUACCGAAGAAUGUUAUCACGGGAGACACACGGCGGGUGCUAACGUCCGUCGUGAAGAGGGAAACAACCCAGACCGCCAGCUAAGGUCCCAAAGUCAUGGUUAAGUGGGAAACGAAGUGGGAAGGCUCAGACAGCCAGGAUGUUGGCUUAGAAGCAGCCAUCAUUUAAAGAAAGCGUAAUAGCUCACUGGUCGAGUCGGCCCGCGCGGAAGAUGUAACGGGGCUAAACCAUGCACCGAAGCUGCGGCAGCGACACUAUGUGUUGUUGGGUAGGGGAGCGUUCUGUAAGCCUGCGAAGGUGUGCUGUGAGGUAUGCUGGAGGUAUCAGAAGUGCGAAUGCUGACAUAAGUAACGAUAAUGCGGGUGAAAAACCCGCACGCCGGAAGACCAAGGGUUCCUGUCCAACGUUAAUCGGGGCAGGGUGAGUCGACCCCUAAGGCGAGGCUGAAAAGCGUAGUCGAUGGGAAACGGGUUAAUAUUCCCGUACUGGUGGUAACUGCGAUGGGGGAACGGAGAAGGCUAGGUUGUCCGGGCGACGGUCGUCCCGGUUCAAGCAUGUAGGCAGAGUGAUUAGGCAAAUCCGGUCACUUAAUGCUGAGGUGUGAUGACGAGCCACUAAGGUGGUGAAGCAAUUGAUGCCCUGCUUCCAGGAAAAGCCUCUAAGCUUCAGGUUACCAACAAUCGUACCCCAAACCGACACAGGUGGUCAGGUAGAGAAUACUCAGGCGCUUGAGAGAACUCGGGUGAAGGAACUAGGCAAAAUGGUGCCGUAACUUCGGGAGAAGGCACGCUGGCGGUAAGUGAAGUCCCUUGCGGACGGAGCCGAAGCCAGUCGAAGAUACCAGCUGGCUGCAACUGUUUAUUAAAAACACAGCACUGUGCAAACACGAAAGUGGACGUAUACGGUGUGACGCCUGCCCGGUGCUGGAAGGUUAAUUGAUGGGGUUAUCCGUAAGGAGAAGCUCUUGAUCGAAGCCCCAGUAAACGGCGGCCGUAACUAUAACGGUCCUAAGGUAGCGAAAUUCCUUGUCGGGUAAGUUCCGACCUGCACGAAUGGCGUAAUGAUGGCCAGGCUGUCUCCACCCGAGACUCAGUGAAAUUGAACUCGCUGUGAAGAUGCAGUGUACCCGCGGCAAGACGGAAAGACCCCGUGAACCUUUACUAUAGCUUGACACUGAACAUUGAGCCUUGAUGUGUAGGAUAGGUGGGAGACUAUGAAGUGUGGACGCCAGUCUGCAUGGAGUCAACCUUGAAAUACCACCCUUUAACGUUUGAUGUUCUAACCUAGGUCCAUAAUCUGGAUCGGGGACCGUGUCUGGUGGGUAGUUUGACUGGGGCGGUCUCCUCCUAAAGAGUAACGGAGGAGCACGAAGGUUGGCUAAGCAUGGUCGGACAUCAUGCGGUUAGUGCAAAGGCAUAAGCCAGCUUGACUGUGAGAGUGACGGCUCGAGCAGGUACGAAAGUAGGUCUUAGUGAUCCGGUGGUUCUGAAUGGAAGGGCCAUCGCUCAACGGAUAAAAGGUACUCCGGGGAUAACAGGCUGAUACCGCCCAAGAGUUCAUAUCGACGGCGGUGUUUGGCACCUCGAUGUCGGCUCAUCACAUCCUGGGGCUGAAGUAGGUCCCAAGGGUAUGGCUGUUCGCCAUUUAAAGUGGUACGCGAGCUGGGUUUAGAACGUCGUGAGACAGUUCGGUCCCUAUCUGCCGUGGGCGUUGGAAGAUUGAGAGGGGUUGCUCCUAGUACGAGAGGACCGGAGUGAACGCACCACUGGUGUUCGGGUUGUCAUGCCAAUGGCAUUGCCCGGUAGCUAAGUGCGGAAGAGAUAACCGCUGAAAGCAUCUAAGCGGGAAACUUGCCUCGAGAUGAGUCUUCCCUGUCACCUUGAGUGACCUAAAGGAACGUUUAAGACUAAGACGUUGAUAGGCUGGGUGUGUAAGCGUAGCGAUACGUUGAGCUAACCAGUACUAAUGAACCGUGAGGCUUAACCUGACAACACCGAAGGUGUUU